RNAcentral lists this ribosomal RNA (443 nucleotides) under uncultured Acinetobacter sp. RNAcentral describes it as "bacterial SSU rRNA". It matches the Rfam family "Bacterial small subunit ribosomal RNA", at positions 918 to 1361 of the family's 1533-position model. The record is from RNAcentral. Lineage: Bacteria; Pseudomonadati; Pseudomonadota; Gammaproteobacteria; Moraxellales; Moraxellaceae.
GGCCCGCACAAGCGGUGGAGCAUGUGGUUUAAUUCGAUGCAACGCGAAGACCUUACCUGGUCUUGACAUAGUAGAAACUUUCCCAGAGAUGGAUUGGUGCCUUCGGGAAUCUACAUACAGGUGCUGCAUGGCUGUCGUCAGCUCGUGUCGUGAGAUGUUGGGUUAAGUCCCGCAACGAGCGCAACCCUUUUCCUUAUUUGCCAGCACUUCGGGUGGGAACUUUAAGGAUACUGCCAGUGACAAACUGGAGGAAGGCGGGGACGACGUCAAGUCAUCAUGGCCCUUACGACCAGGGCUACACACGUGCUACAAUGGUCGGUACAAAGGUUGCUNACACAGCGAUGUGAUGCUAAUCUCAAAAAGCCGAUCGUAGUCCGGAUUGGAGUCUGCAACUCGACUCCAUGAAGUCGGAAUCGUUAGUAAUCGCGGAUCAGAAUGCCGCG